Molecule: ribosomal RNA, 526 nt
Filed under: uncultured Clostridium sp.
Lineage: Bacteria; Bacillati; Bacillota; Clostridia; Eubacteriales; Clostridiaceae
Description: bacterial SSU rRNA
Rfam family: Bacterial small subunit ribosomal RNA
Source: RNAcentral
AGAGUUUGAUCCUGGCUCAGGACGAACGCUGGCGGCGUGCUUAACACAUGCAAGUCGAGCGAUGAAGCUCCUUCGGGAGUGGAUUAGCGGCGGACGGGUGAGUAACACGUGGGUAACCUGCCUCAUAGAGGGGAAUAGCCUUUCGAAAGGAAGAUUAAUACCGCAUAAGAUUGUAGUACCGCAUGGUACAGCAAUUAAAGGAGUAAUCCGCUAUGAGAUGGACCCGCGUCGCAUUAGCUAGUUGGUGAGGUAACUGCUCACCAAGGCGACGAUGCGUAGCCGACCUGAGAGGGUGAUCGGCCACAUUGGGACUGAGACACGGCCCAGACUCCUACGGGAGGCAGCAGUGGGGAAUAUUGCACAAUGGGGGAAACCCUGAUGCAGCAACGCCGCGUGAGUGAUGACGGUCUUCGGAUUGUAAAGCUCUGUCUUUAGGGACGAUAAUGACGGUACCUAAGGAGGAGGCCACGGCUAACUACGUGCCAGCAGCCGCGGUAAUACGUAGGUGGCAAGCGUUGUCCGGAUU